AUGGUCCAGCUCCCGGCCAAGGCUGCCGCACCGCCACCAGCGGCGACGGCUGUGCCAGUACCAGGCACUACAGGAGGAGAGGACUAUAUCCUAAAUUGGGAACAACGGCUUCAUAUUGCAUUUGAUGCUGCCCAAGGAUUGGAGUAUUUACAUGAGUUAUGCACCCCAUCAAUAGUGCAUAGAGAUGUGAAGACCCCCAACAUCCUACUAGACAAGAAUCUAGUGGGGAUAAUAUCUGAUUUUGGGCUUUCGCGGGCUUUUAACGAUGCUCACACACACAUAUCUACUGUUGCUGCUGGCACUCUUGGCUACCUUGACCCUGAGUACCAUGCAACUUUCCAACUCACUGUCAAGACAGAUGUUUACAGCUUUGGUAUUGUGCUGUUGGAGAUCAUCACUGCUCAACCCCCAGUGAUCAUGGACCCUCAACCCGUCCACCUACCAAAAUGGGUGCGCCAAAAGAUAGCAAAAGGCAGUAUUCAUGAUGUCGUGGACAAAAAGUUGUUAGAUCAAUACAACGUCAGUUCCCUGCAGAGUGUGAUAGACCUUGCCAUGGACUGUGUCGAAAAUGCAGCCGUUGAUAGGCCGGCCAUGACCGAGGUUGUUUCAAAGCUCAAAGUGUUGUUGCCAUUGGUUACAAGCGAAAAGCGGUCUAUUUAUGGAACCACUCAAUAUAAAAACUCCAUGGAUAGUGAAAUUUCACAACAGUACCAGUUGACGAUUUCUGGAGCAAGCACGGAAGGGAGCUCCUUCCAGUCUGGUUAUACCGGUGGGAUGUCAGCAAUAAGCAUGUCUUCUGGAAGGUGA
RNAcentral lists this ribosomal RNA (807 nucleotides) under Triticum aestivum (bread wheat). Its description in RNAcentral is "partial small subunit ribosomal RNA". The record is from RNAcentral. Lineage: Eukaryota; Viridiplantae; Streptophyta; Magnoliopsida; Poales; Poaceae.